GCGGCGGUAGUUUAAUGGUAGAAUAAGCGGCUGUGGCCCGCUUGGCGCGAGUUCGAUUCUCGCCCGCUGCC
Molecule: transfer RNA, 71 nt
Filed under: Candidatus Woesearchaeota archaeon
Lineage: Archaea; Nanobdellati; Candidatus Woesearchaeota
Description: tRNA-His
Rfam family: tRNA
About the family: Transfer RNA (tRNA) molecules are approximately 80 nucleotides in length.
Source: RNAcentral